AGAGUUUGAUCCUGGCUCAGGAUGAACGCUAGCGGCAGGCUUAACACAUGCAAGUCGAGGGGUAACAUUGUAGCUUGCUACAGAUGACGACCGGCGCACGGGUGCGUAACGCGUAUACAAUCUACCUUUUGCUGAGGGAUAGCCCAGAGAAAUUUGGAUUAAUACUUCAUAGUAUUAUUUAUUGGCAUCAAUAAGUAAUAAAGGUUACGGCAAAAGAUGAGUAUGCGUUCUAUUAGCUAGAUGGAGUGGUAACGGCACACCAUGGCAACGAUAGAUAGGGGCCCUGAGAGGGGGAUCCCCCACACUGGUACUGAGACGCGGACCAGACUCCUACGGGAGGCAGCAGUGAGGAAUAUUGGACAAUGGAGGCAACUCUGAUCCAGCCAUGCCGCGUGCAGGAAGACUGCCCUAUGGGUUGUAAACUGCUUUUAUACAGGAAGAAACAGCUCUUCGCGAAGAGCCUUGACGGUACUGUAAGAAUAAGGAUCGGCUAACUCCGUGCCAGCAGCCGCGGUAAUACGGAGGAUCCAAGCGUUAUCCGGAAUCAUUGGGUUUAAAGGGUCCGUAGGUGGAUAAUUAAGUCAGAGGUGAAAUCCUGCAGCUCAACUGUAGAAUUGCCUUUGAUACUGGUUAUCUUGAGUUAUUAUGAAGUAGUUAGAAUAUGUAGUGUAGCGGUGAAAUGCAUAGAUAUUACAUAGAAUACCAAUUGCGAAGCAGAUUACUAAUAAUAUACUGACACUGAUGGACGAAAGCGUGGGGAGCGAACAGGAUUAGAUACCCUGGUAGUCCACGCCGUAAACGAUGGUUACUAGCUGUUCGAACUUCGGUUUGAGUGGCUAAGCGAAAGUGAUAAGUAACCCACCUGGGGAGUACGUUCGCAAGAAUGAAACUCAAAGGAAUUGACGGGGGCCCGCACAAGCGGUGGAGCAUGUGGUUUAAUUCGAUGCAACGCGAAGAACCUUACCAUCCCUUACAUCCAGAGAAGCGACUAGAGAUAGACGUGUGCCUUCGGGAACUCUGUGACAGGUGCUGCAUGGCUGUCGUCAGCUCGUGUUGUGAAAUGUUGGGUUAAGUCCCGCAACGAGCGCAACCCCUAUCCUUAUUUGCCAGCGCGUUAUGGCGGGAACUCUAAGGAGACUGCCGGUGAUAAACCGGAGGAAGGUGGGGACGACGUCAAGUCAUCAUGGCCCUUACGGGAUGGGCUACACACGUGCUACAAUGGCCGGUACAAGGGCUGCAAACCCGCGAGGGGGAGCUAAUCCCACAAAGCCGGCCUAAGUUCGGAUUGUAGUCUGCAACUCGACUGCAUGAAGUCGGAAUCGCUAGUAAUCGUCUAUCAGCAACGAGACGGUGAAUACGUUCCCGGGCCUUGUACACACCGCCCGUCAAGCCAUGGAAGCCGGGAGUGCCCGAAGUCUGUGGCCCAACCUAGUGAGGGAGCAGCCGAAGGUAAGUUCGGUGACUGGGGCUAAGUCGUAACAAGGUAAC
This 1488-nucleotide ribosomal RNA is filed under the name uncultured bacterium. RNAcentral's name for it is "16S ribosomal RNA". It matches the Rfam family "Bacterial small subunit ribosomal RNA". The record is from RNAcentral.